CUUCUUCAGGGAUUUCAAUUCCCAGAUUUUUAUGGUAAAAAAAUUUUUAAUGCUUAUCCCUUAAGUUUAAUUGUACAACUCUACAUCAAAGUGAUGUCUUUGUACAAGACCUUGCUGAGAAAACUGAAGAAAGAACACACAAGAAAAACUUUCCUGAUGCAGGCCUUUCCUUUCACAUGCUUCAUUGUUAUCAAUGGAGUGAGGGAAACUGUACUUUCAGAACUGAGCACAGCAGAGAAAGCAACACACCCCUGAACGACUUGGAUCAAAUUCCUGCUGAAAAUCAGAAAAUAUGUGGCUUGCCAGUUCCGAACAAAACAUUGAAACACAUCCAACGAAUUUCAAAUGCCAUUUGGGCAUCAUGAUAUGCCUAAUUAAUAGAUCUUUUCCACUUUCCACACUGAAUCAAAAUUCUUAAUUUUUCAAAUGAAAUCUACUCUCAAGAUGGUGAAUAUGAAUAAGCAGGAAACCCUGAAAGCAUGGAAACGUCCCUCCUGCCCACCUGGAAAGCUCCACGCUGUGGAGGCUCUGACAAAUGGUAGAAAUUCAGAAGGGCUCGUGGAAUUUUUCUCUGGGAAACUGAUACUGGAAGCUCACCCUAAGAUGUUCAGACUUGAAAAACUCAGGCUAUUUAAAUCCUCAUCAGACAGGCUCUCUGAAGUUUAGUUGGCUGGAGCAGAAGAUUAUUACGUGUGGCAUUUUUCUACAACACAAUUUAGACAAAAACGUGCAUUAAAAACAAUCCUGACAGUGCCACCAGUGGCUCUCUCUUAUCUGAGGCAUCCUUUUCAUCCAUAUAAAGAGUUGAUGAAGAGAUCACAAUCUGCCCUAAACCCAGGAGAAAGACCAAACAGAAUGUGGGUUUUGGCUGUCUUCCACCUAGUCAGUGACAAGAAAAGACUUGAAGCAGAAAAUCUUACUAUUCUGGCAAGAAACCUCUUUUUUACCUUUAAGCAUUUCUGGCU
Hirundo rustica (Barn swallow) is the source of this 965-nucleotide long non-coding RNA. RefSeq lists it as uncharacterized. Lineage: Eukaryota; Metazoa; Chordata; Aves; Passeriformes; Hirundinidae. The transcript has 3 exons. The record is from RefSeq and is a predicted model, not a curated record.